This is a non-coding RNA of Salvelinus sp. IW2-2015, 608 nucleotides long. The record is from RefSeq and is a predicted model, not a curated record. NCBI's taxonomy places the organism in Eukaryota, Metazoa, Chordata, Actinopteri, Salmoniformes, Salmonidae.
GUAUGGUGCCUGACUUCCUGCUCUAUACUAUGAUCAGGUAUGGUGCCUGACUUCCUGCUCUAUACUAUGAUCAGGUAUGGUGCCAGACUUCCUGCUCUAUACUAUGAUCAGGUAUGGUGCCUGACUUCCUGCUCUAUACUAUGAUCAGGUAUGGUGUCUGACUUCCUGCUCUAUACUAUGAUCAGGUAUGGUGUCUGACUUCCUGCACUUACUGAGGAUGAUGUCGUACUUUCAUGUCAGCUGCUUUUCUUUGACCCCCCCUCUGGCAGGACCAGUCCAAAUAUAACAUGAAGGAUCCAUUGGCCUAGUGUGAGACCAUGAAAACCGUGAGGUAUCAUGGGUAAAUUGUGACUGGCUGAUGUACAAAUAAUAUUGAGGUAGUUAUUUACGAUGCAAGGUGGUUUGUAGAUCAGCAGUCUCGGCUCCUUUAAAGUCGGCAGCCAUGUCUAACGGUCCCAUUUUGUUUUUCUGGGUGGGAACAUACAUAGACUGUGUAUGAUUUAGUUGUAUUACCAUAGUUACGAGACUUUUCUCCUGUAACUUUCACGGGAGUGUUUAUUCAUCAAUCCUUUUUGUAUCAAAGAAAUACAUCGGAAAAACAAAACAAC